CUUCGGGUGCGUUAAUGGGCGUCGAGCGGCGGACGGGUGAGUAAUGCCUAGGAAAUUGCCUUGAUGUGGGGGAUAACCAUUGGAAACGAUGGCUAAUACCGCAUAAUGCCUACGGGCCAAAGAGGGGGAUCUUCGGACCUCUCGCGUCAAGAUAUGCCUAGGUGGGAUUAGCUAGUUGGUGAGGUAAUGGCUCACCAAGGCGACGAUCCCUAGCUGGUCUGAGAGGAUGAUCAGCCACACUGGAACUGAGACACGGUCCAGACUCCUACGGGAGGCAGCAGUGGGGAAUAUUGCACAAUGGGCGAAAGCCUGAUGCAGCCAUGCCGCGUGUAUGAAGAAGGCCUUCGGGUUGUAAAGUACUUUCAGUUGUGAGGAAGGGUGUGUAGUUAAUAGCUGCACAUCUUGACGUUAGCAACAGAAGAAGCACCGGCUAACUCCGUGCCAGCAGCCGCGGUAAUACGGAGGGUGCGAGCGUUAAUCGGAAUUACUGGGCGUAAAGCGCAUGCAGGUGGUUCAUUAAGUCAGAUGUGAAAGCCCGGGGCUCAACCUCGGAACUGCAUUUGAAACUGGUGAACUAGAGUGCUGU
Molecule: ribosomal RNA, 586 nt
Filed under: bacterium 4873K2-B42
Lineage: Bacteria
Description: bacterial SSU rRNA
Rfam family: Bacterial small subunit ribosomal RNA
Source: RNAcentral